This 66-nucleotide transfer RNA is filed under the name Ocellarnaca fuscotessellata. Its description in RNAcentral is "tRNA-Ile". The record is from RNAcentral. Lineage: Eukaryota; Metazoa; Arthropoda; Insecta; Orthoptera; Gryllacrididae.
AAUAAUGUGCCUGAUUUAAAGGAUUAUCUUGAUAGGAUAAAUCAAGUAAUUACAUUACCAUUAUUA